GACAGAGGUGCCAAGCGUUAGGCGGAAUCACUGGGCUUAAAGCGUGUGUAGGCGGAUCGGUAAGUACCUUGUGAAAUCCCACAGCUUAACUGUGGAACUGCUUGGUAUACUGCCAGUCUUGAGCCAGCUAGGGGCUACCGGAACAAAUGGUGGAGCGGUGAAAUGCGUAGAUAUCAUUUGGAACGCCAAUGGUGAAAACAGGUAGCUGGGGCUGUGCUGACGCUGAGACACGAAAGCCAGGGGAGCAAACGGG
This 253-nucleotide ribosomal RNA is filed under the name uncultured bacterium. RNAcentral's name for it is "partial 16S ribosomal RNA". It matches the Rfam family "Bacterial small subunit ribosomal RNA", at positions 524 to 776 of the family's 1533-position model. The record is from RNAcentral.